RNAcentral lists this long non-coding RNA (667 nucleotides) under Oryza sativa aus subgroup. Its description in RNAcentral is "lncRNA OsN22_10G003530". Lineage: Eukaryota; Viridiplantae; Streptophyta; Magnoliopsida; Poales; Poaceae. The record is from RNAcentral.
CCGUCCACACGGUCAUCGCUCCAUCCCUCCAUCCCCUCCGUCCUCGCUAUAUUUAGUCCACGCAAUCACCACACCAGCCACCGCCUAGACAUCCUCGCUGCCUCCCUGCCAAAAAUCCCCAAAUCCUCCUCUUCUCGCCACCGCCGCCGCGCUGUCUUCCUCCCGCCACGCCGCAGCGCCGCCUUCCUCCCGCGACGCCCGGCCGGCGCCGUCUUCGUCCCGCGGCACCCGCUCGGUGACUGUGGCGGCUACGAAGCACGGCGCCACCACCACUAUCCCGAUCUGCCUCUCUGUCCCCUUACCCAAGUUCUCAAGUUCAAGGCUUGUAGGUUCCAGCUGCAUGGCAAUUGCUCUUUGGUGUUCCUCUACCUGUUAUUUCCUGGUAUUAUUUCAGUUAUUUUAGUAGUUCCUUGGGAAUUCUUAUUUGUUGUCUAAUCUUUAUCUCCGUAUACAUGAUCAUCAUUUAAUUGUACUGGUAAACAUCAGUCCCUACUCUAUUUUUUAUUGCACCAAGUAGUAUGCAUAAACUGUUAUUCAGUUAAACUAUAGCAUAUAUUUUUGUAUGUGUCUAUGUAUAUAUAUAUAUUUGGCAGUUUCUCACUAGCCAUUUUCGUUCUCUGGGAUUGCAAAGAGCACAAUAAGAGGCAAGCAUUGGACCUUAACUAAC